This 575-nucleotide ribosomal RNA is filed under the name uncultured bacterium. RNAcentral describes it as "partial 16S ribosomal RNA". It matches the Rfam family "Bacterial small subunit ribosomal RNA", at positions 355 to 923 of the family's 1533-position model. The record is from RNAcentral.
UGGGGAAUUUUGGACAAUGGGCGAAAGCCUGAUCCAGCAAUGCCGCGUGUGUGAAGAAGGCCUUCGGGUUGUAAAGCACUUUUGUCCGGAAAGAAAUCCUUGGCUCUGAUACAGUCGGGGGAUGACGGUACCGGAAGAAUAAGCACCGGCUAACUACGUGCCAGCAGCCGCGGUAAUACGUAGGGUGCAAGCGUUAAUCGGAAUUACUGGGCGUAAAGCGUGCGCAGGCGGUUUGCUAAGACCGAUGUGAAAUCCCCGGGCUCAACCUGGGAACUGCAUUGGUGACUGGCAGGCUAGAGUAUGGCAGAGGGGGGUAGAAUUCCACGUGUAGCAGUGAAAUGCGUAGAGAUGUGGAGGAAUACCGAUGGCGAAGGCAGCCCCCUGGGCCAAUACUGACGCUCAUGCACGAAAGCGUGGGGAGCAAACAGGAUUAGAUACCCUGGUAGUCCACGCCCUAAACGAUGUCAACUAGUUGUUGGGGAUUCAUUUCCUUAGUAACGUAGCUAACGCGUGAAGUUGACCGCCUGGGGAGUACGGUCGCAAGAUUAAAACUCAAAGGAAUUGACGGGGUCAUA